AUAAAACAUAAAUUAUUUAUCAUAAGUCACAAUCACAAAUUCACAAUUCUCCAUAAUAACUCACAAAUCACAAAUCAUUAUUUAUAAGACCAAUAAGUAAUAUCAAUUAACACAAUUUACAGACUUGAGAUAACAACAUUCAUUAUUAUUUAUUCAAUAAAUCAAUGAGAAAUAGCCAAAAAAAUAUAACAAAAACAAUACCCAAAAAAUAAAAAUAAAAAUAGCGAUAAAAUAGAACAUAAAGCACUCACUAGUCACCAGACGAAGCUGAAUUUUGUUCGCCCAAUUAACAAUCACCCAUGCUGUCUACUGACCAGAAUGGGAAGUUGGAGAUCUCAAAAUACUGGAAUGCCAGUUGAACUCGGCAGAAGAAGAACUUUGAUGACUCAAACCAGGCUUUAGAGUUUAAGCUUUUGAACUUGGCUAAUGGACAAUGGCUGGCAGGUGGAGGCGCGGUUGAACGGAAUUUGGAAGAGAGGAAAAGGAUUUGCGCUUAAGCUGUUGGAUUUGGGAAUGAGAAAUUGAGAGUCGAUUACUUGAUUUGGUGGAGUUUGCUAUUUGGAAUUGGACCAUUCUUCAUCCGGGGAUUGCCAAUGCAGACUCGG
RNAcentral lists this long non-coding RNA (605 nucleotides) under Olea europaea subsp. europaea. Lineage: Eukaryota; Viridiplantae; Streptophyta; Magnoliopsida; Lamiales; Oleaceae. The record is from RNAcentral.